RNAcentral lists this ribosomal RNA (459 nucleotides) under uncultured bacterium. RNAcentral describes it as "partial 16S ribosomal RNA". It matches the Rfam family "Bacterial small subunit ribosomal RNA", at positions 339 to 795 of the family's 1533-position model. The record is from RNAcentral.
CUACGGGUGGCUGCAGUAAGGAAUAUUGCGCAAUGGAGGCAACUCUGACGCAGCCAUGCCGCGUGCAGGAAGAAGGCCUUAUGGGUCGUAAACUGCUUUUAUUUAGGAAUAAACCCCCGAACGUGUUCGGGGCUGAAGGUACUAAACGAAUAAGCACCGGCUAACUCCGUGCCAGCAGCCGCGGUAAUACGGAGGGUGCAAGCGUUAUCCGGAUUUAUUGGGUUUAAAGGGUGCGCAGGCGGGCUAUUAAGUCAGUGGUGAAAUCCCGGGGCUCAACUCCGGAACUGCCAUUGAUACUGAUAGUCUUGAGUUUGGUUGAAGUGGGCGGAAUGUAGCAUGUAGCGGUGAAAUGCAUAGAUAUGCUACAGAACACCAAUCGCGAAGGCAGCUCACUAAGCCAAAACUGACGCUCAUGCACGAAAGCGUGGGGAUCAAACAGGAUUAGAUACCCCCGUAGUC